RNAcentral lists this ribosomal RNA (655 nucleotides) under uncultured fungus. RNAcentral describes it as "eukaryotic LSU rRNA". It matches the Rfam family "Eukaryotic large subunit ribosomal RNA", at positions 23 to 664 of the family's 3401-position model. The record is from RNAcentral. Lineage: Eukaryota; Fungi.
ACCCGCUGAACUUAAGCAUAUCAAUAAGCGGAGGAAAAGAAACUAACAAGGAUUCCCCUAGUAACGGCGAGUGAAGCGGGAAGAGCUCAAAUUUGAAAUCUGGUGUCCUCAGGGCGUCCGAGUUGUAAUCUAUAGGAACGUUUUCCGUGCCGGCUCAUGUACAAGUCCCUUGGAACAGGGCGUCAUAGAGGGUGAGAAUCCCGUACUUGACAUGAACUACCGGUGCUCUGUGAUACAUCUCCAACGAGUCGAGUUGUUUGGGAAUGCAGCUCAAAAUGGGUGGUAAAUUCCAUCUAAAGCUAAAUAUUGGUGUGAGACCGAUAGCGAACAAGUACCGUGAGGGAAAGAUGAAAAGCACUUUGGAAAGAGAGUUAAAAAGUAUGUGAAAUUGUUGAAAGGGAAACGAUUGAAGUCAGUCAUGUCCUUCGGAUUCAGCUGGUUCUGCCGGUGUACUUCCGUUGGAUGGGGUCAACAUCAGUUUUGGAUGCCGGAUAAAGGCUGGAGGAAGGUAGUACCCCCGGGUAAACUUAUAGCCUCCUGUCGCAUACGGUGACCGGGACUGAGGAACGCAGCUUGCCUUUAUGGCCGGGGUUCGCCCACGUACAAGCUUAGGAUGUUGACAUAAUGGCUUUAAACGACCCGUCUUGAAACACGG